UACGGGGGGCGCAAGCGUUGUUCGGAAUUACUGGGCGUAAAGGGUCUGUAGGUGGCUUGCUAAGUCAGACGUGAAAUCCCUCAGCUUAACUGGGGAACUGCGUCUGAGACUGGCGAGCUUGAGGGCAGGAGAGGAACGCGGAAUUCCAGGUGUAGCGGUGAAAUGCGUAGAUAUCUGGAGGAACACCGGUGGCGAAGGCGGCGUUCUGGACUGCAUCUGACACUGAAAGACGAAAGCCAGGGGAGCAAACGGG
Molecule: ribosomal RNA, 253 nt
Filed under: uncultured bacterium
Lineage: Bacteria
Description: partial 16S ribosomal RNA
Rfam family: Bacterial small subunit ribosomal RNA
Source: RNAcentral